This 399-nucleotide ribosomal RNA is filed under the name uncultured bacterium. RNAcentral describes it as "partial 16S ribosomal RNA". It matches the Rfam family "Bacterial small subunit ribosomal RNA", at positions 360 to 776 of the family's 1533-position model. The record is from RNAcentral.
AAUAUUGCGUAAUGGGCUCAAGCGUGAUCCAGCGAUGCCGCGCGCGCGCUGAAGGCUCUACGGUUGUUAAGCUCUUCCGUCCGGGGCGACAAUGAUGGUACCGGCAACAAAAUGCCCGGCUACCGCCGUACCAACAACCGCGGUAAUACGAAGGGGGCUAGCGUUGCUCGGAAUCACUGGGGGUAAAGGGCGCGUAGGCGGACGUUUAAGUCAGGGGUGAAAUCCCGGGGCUCAACCUCGGUAUUGCCUUUGAUACUGGAUGUCUCGAGACCGGAAGAGGUAACUGGAACUGCGAGUGUAGAGGUGAAAUUCGUAGAUAUUCGCAAGAACACCAGUGGCGAAGGCAGCUUACUGGUCCGGUUCUGGCGCUGAGGCGCGAAAGCGUGGGGAGCAAACAGG